This 615-nucleotide ribosomal RNA is filed under the name uncultured archaeon. RNAcentral describes it as "bacterial SSU rRNA". It matches the Rfam family "Archaeal small subunit ribosomal RNA", at positions 380 to 996 of the family's 1478-position model. The record is from RNAcentral.
UCCGAGUGUUUUCUGCUAAAGAAAUCUUUUGUUAGUUCUAAAACCACUAUCGAAUAAGGGGUGGGCAAGUUCUGGUGUCAGCCGCCGCGGUAAAACCAGCACCUCAAGUGGUCAGGAGGAUUAUUGGGCCUAAAGCAUCCGUAGCCGGCUAUGUUAGUUUUCGGUUAAAUCCAUGUGCCCAACAUAUGGGCUGUCGAGAAUACUGCAUAGCUAGGGAGUGGGAGAGGUAGACGGUACUCGGUAGGAAGGGGUAAAAUCCUUUGAUCUAUCGAUGACCACCAGUGGCGAAGGCGGUCUACCAGAACACGUCCGACGGUGAGGGAUGAAAGCUGGGGGAGCAAACCGGAUUAGAUACCCGGGUAGUCCCAGCUGUAAACUAUGCAAACUCAGUGAUGCAUUGGCUUGUGGCCAGUGCAGUGCCGCAGAGAAGUCGUUAAGUUUGCCGCCUGGGAAGUACGUACGCAAGUAUGAAACUUAAAGGAAUUGGCGGGGGAGCACCACAAGGGGUGAAGCCUGCGGUUCAAUUGGAGUCAACGCCAGAAAUCUUACCCGGAGAGACAGCAGAAUGAAGGUCAAGCUGAAGACUUUACCAGACAAGCUGAGAAGUGGUGCAUG